CGCCCGGUAGCUCAAGCGGAAGAGCGAGGAGACCUUGUCAGAGAAAAGGACUAUGGUAUCUCUGUGACGCUGGUUCGAGUCCAGCCCGGGCGG
Molecule: non-coding RNA, 93 nt
Organism: Stereum hirsutum FP-91666 SS1
Lineage: Eukaryota; Fungi; Basidiomycota; Agaricomycetes; Russulales; Stereaceae
Source: the annotation of a RefSeq genome assembly